This 435-nucleotide ribosomal RNA is filed under the name uncultured bacterium. RNAcentral describes it as "bacterial SSU rRNA". It matches the Rfam family "Bacterial small subunit ribosomal RNA", at positions 29 to 509 of the family's 1533-position model. The record is from RNAcentral.
AACGAACGCUGGCGGCAGGCCUAACACAUGCAAGUCGAACGCCGUAGCAAUACGGAGUGGCAGACGGGUGAGUAACACGUGGGAACGUACCCUUCGGUUCGGAAUAACUCAGGGAAACUUGAGCUAAUACCGGAUACGUCCGAGAGGAGAAAGAUUUAUCGCCGAGGGAUCGGCCCGCGUCUGAUUAGCUUGUUGGUGAGGUAACGGCUCACCAAGGCGACGAUCAGUAGCUGGCUGAGAGGAUGAUCAGCCACAUUGGGACUGAGACACGGCCCAAACUCCUACGGGAGGCAGCAGUGGGGAAUAUUGGACAAUGGGCGCAAGCCUGAUCCAGCCAUGCCGCGUGAGUGAUGAAGGCCCUAGGGUUGUAAAGACUCUUUUACCCGGGAAGAUAAUGACUGUACCGGGAGAAUAAGCCCCGGCUAACUUCGUGCC